RNAcentral lists this ribosomal RNA (395 nucleotides) under uncultured bacterium. RNAcentral describes it as "bacterial SSU rRNA". It matches the Rfam family "Bacterial small subunit ribosomal RNA", at positions 28 to 426 of the family's 1533-position model. The record is from RNAcentral.
GAUGAACGCUAGCGGCAGGCCUAACACAUGCAAGUCGAGGGGUAGAGUUCUUCGGGACUUGAGACCGGCGCACGGGUGCGUAACGCGUAUGCAAUCUACCUUAUACAGGGGAAUAGCCCAGAGAAAUUUGGAUUAAUGCCCCAUAGUGUUAUCGAAUCGCAUGGUUUGAUAACUAAAGUUCCAACGGUAUAAGAUGAGCAUGCGUCCCAUUAGUUAGUUGGUAAGGUAACGGCUUACCAAGGCUACGAUGGGUAGGGGUUCUGAGAGGGAGAUCCCCACACUGGUACUGAGACACGGACCAGACUCCUACGGGAGGCAGCAGUGAGGAAUAUUGGACAAUGGGCGCAAGCCUGAUCCAGCCAUGCCGCGUGCAGGAUGACGGUCCUAUGGAUUGU